UGGGGAAUUUUUGACAAUGGGCGAAAGCCUGAUCCAGCAAUGCCGCGUGUGUGAAGAAGGCCUUCGGGUUGUAAAGCACUUUUGUCCGGAAAGAAAUGGCUCUGGUUAAUACCUGGGGUCGAUGACGGUACCGGAAGAAUAAGGACCGGCUAACUACGUGCCAGCAGCCGCGGUAAUACGUAGGGUCCAAGCGUUAAUCGGAAUUACUGGGCGUAAAGCGUGCGCAGGCGGUUGUGCAAGACCGAUGUGAAAUCCCCGAGCUUAACUUGGGAAUUGCAUUGGUGACUGCACGGUUAGAGUGUGUCAGAGGGGGGUAGAAUUCCACGUGUAGCAGUGAAAUGCGUAGAGAUGUGGAGGAAUACCGAUGGCGAAGGCAGCCCCCUGGGAUAACACUGACGCUCAGGCACGAAAGCGUGGGGAGCAAACAGG
RNAcentral lists this ribosomal RNA (429 nucleotides) under Bacillota bacterium. Its description in RNAcentral is "Firmicutes bacterium partial 16S ribosomal RNA". It matches the Rfam family "Bacterial small subunit ribosomal RNA", at positions 355 to 776 of the family's 1533-position model. Lineage: Bacteria; Bacillati; Bacillota. The record is from RNAcentral.